GUGAACACAGCGCCAUGAUCGCGAUUCAACAGUGGCCGUCUAAUGCCCAGCCAGACUGCUGCCUAUGACUCGUAACGUGCACCUCUUUUCUAGGUUUUGACGUCCCGAAAGCCACCACCGUCGUCGUCAUCUACAGCCGGCGGAUUCCACAGCGCCAGUGACCCGCCACGUAACAGUAGCAUAUAACGGGGCGCGUUCGAUUAUUACAACCACACCUCACCGCUGCGAGCUAUUUGCUUUCCACGGCCACGUAUCACUUUGGUAGGCAGAGACAACGAUGCAUGCCCCAAUUGCAGCCGAUAGCUUCGUGAUCGGAGGCAGUGUCAUUGCAAUCGCCCAGAUGCGUCUGAUCGAAUUGAGCAUUUGUCGCUUGUCCUUGUUGUGGAUGUCAAAGUCUGAUGGUGCCAUUGUCACCUUCGCAACGGGAUAAGACCAUCAUCUUUGUGCGCAGUAGCCGAGGAGGGAGCUUUUGGGAGCCAGCUUACCCACAUUUCGGUACACGGUUAGCUUCUACUUCGUCGACCCUAUAGUCCUCUUGUUGCAAACAGGCACCAUAUCAACAACCGCCACUUUGAGUGGCGACCCCUCUCAGCUGUAUAUAUAACUCACUAUUAUCUUUUCUUCUGUCCACCUGAAACAUACUUUCAUAUUUUAGUGCCCUCAAAAACUUACUGUGCUCUUCUUAUCAUUAUUAGACUGGGAUUAGGGAAACAGUUUCAUUAUUGUUUCACUUUUUGGAAGAUAUAUAUCAUGCCAAUGGCAUUUUUAAUAUUGCAGCAAUGAAUGUGACAAAGAUUUUCUUA
Molecule: long non-coding RNA, 803 nt
Organism: Musa acuminata AAA Group (dessert banana)
Lineage: Eukaryota; Viridiplantae; Streptophyta; Magnoliopsida; Zingiberales; Musaceae
Exons: 2
Source: RefSeq, a predicted model, not a curated record